This is a small nuclear RNA of Lycium ferocissimum, 100 nucleotides long. NCBI's taxonomy places the organism in Eukaryota, Viridiplantae, Streptophyta, Magnoliopsida, Solanales, Solanaceae. The record is from RefSeq and is a predicted model, not a curated record.
CUCCAUUCGAGGACAUCCGAUAAAGUUGGAACGAUACUUAAAAUAUAAGCAUAUCCAAGCGCAAAGAUGACACACAAAUUAGGAGAUGGUCCAAAUUUCU